AACAAAACUAUCCGCCAGAGAACUACUAGCAACAGCUUAAAACUCAAAGGACUUGGCGGUGCUUUAUAUCCCUCUAGAGGAGCCUGUUCCAUAAUCGAUAAACCCCGAUAAACCUCACCAUCUCUUGCUAAUUCAGCCUAUAUACCGCCAUCUUCAGCAAACCCUAAAAAGGAAGAAAAGUAAGCACAAGUAUCUUAACAUAAAAAAGUUAGGUCAAGGUGUAGCCCAUGAGAUGGGGAAGUAAUGGGCUACAUUUUCUACAACUAGAACAUCCACGAAAAUCCUUAUGAAAUUAAGUAUUAAAGGAGGAUUUAGUAGUAAAUUC
Molecule: ribosomal RNA, 325 nt
Filed under: Panthera tigris (tiger)
Lineage: Eukaryota; Metazoa; Chordata; Mammalia; Carnivora; Felidae
Description: partial small subunit ribosomal RNA
Rfam family: Bacterial small subunit ribosomal RNA
Source: RNAcentral